GGGUUGUGAGGUUAAGCGACUAAGCGUACACGGUGGAUGCCCUGGCAGUCAGAGGCGAUGAAGGACGUGCUAAUCUGCGAUAAGCGUCGGUAAGGUGAUAUGAACCGUUAUAACCGGCGAUUUCCGAAUGGGGAAACCCAGUGUGAUUCGUCACACUAUCAUUAACUGAAUCCAUAGGUUAAUGAGGCGAACCGGGGGAACUGAAACAUCUAAGUACCCCGAGGAAAAGAAAUCAACCGAGAUUCCCCCAGUAGCGGCGAGCGAACGGGGAGGAGCCCAGAGCCUGAAUCAGUGUGUGUGUUAGUGGAAGCGUCUGGAAAGGCGCGCGAUACAGGGUGACAGCCCCGUACACAAAAAUGCACAUGCUGUGAGCUCGAUGAGUAGGGCGGGACACGUGGUAUCCUGUCUGAAUAUGGGGGGACCAUCCUCCAAGGCUAAAUACUCCUGACUGACCGAUAGUGAACCAGUACCGUGAGGGAAAGGCGAAAAGAACCCCGGCGAGGGGAGUGAAAAAGAACCUGAAACCGUGUACGUACAAGCAGUGGGAGCACGCUUAGGCGUGUGACUGCGUACCUUUUGUAUAAUGGGUCAGCGACUUAUAUUCUGUAGCAAGGUUAACCGAAUAGGGGAGCCGAAGGGAAACCGAGUCUUAACUGGGCGUUAAGUUGCAGGGUAUAGACCCGAAACCCGGUGAUCUAGCCAUGGGCAGGUUGAAGGUUGGGUAACACUAACUGGAGGACCGAACCGACUAAUGUUGAAAAAUUAGCGGAUGACUUGUGGCUGGGGGUGAAAGGCCAAUCAAACCGGGAGAUAGCUGGUUCUCCCCGAAAGCUAUUUAGGUAGCGCCUCGUGAAUUCAUCUCCGGGGGUAGAGCACUGUUUCGGCAAGGGGGUCAUCCCGACUUACCAACCCGAUGCAAACUGCGAAUACCGGAGAAUGUUAUCACGGGAGACACACGGCGGGUGCUAACGUCCGUCGUGAAGAGGGAAACAACCCAGACCGCCAGCUAAGGUCCCAAAGUCAUGGUUAAGUGGGAAACGAUGUGGGAAGGCCCAGACAGCCAGGAUGUUGGCUUAGAAGCAGCCAUCAUUUAAAGAAAGCGUAAUAGCUCACUGGUCGAGUCGGCCUGCGCGGAAGAUGUAACGGGGCUAAACCAUGCACCGAAGCUGCGGCAGCGACACUAUGUGUUGUUGGGUAGGGGAGCGUUCUGUAAGCCUGUGAAGGUGUGCUGUGAGGCAUGCUGGAGGUAUCAGAAGUGCGAAUGCUGACAUAAGUAACGAUAAAGCGGGUGAAAAGCCCGCUCGCCGGAAGACCAAGGGUUCCUGUCCAACGUUAAUCGGGGCAGGGUGAGUCGACCCCUAAGGCGAGGCCGAAAGGCGUAGUCGAUGGGAAACAGGUUAAUAUUCCUGUACUUGGUGUUACUGCGAAGGGGGGACGGAGAAGGCUAUGUUGGCCGGGCGACGGUUGUCCCGGUUUAAGCGUGUAGGCUGGUUUUCCAGGCAAAUCCGGAAAAUCAAGGCUGAGGCGUGAUGACGAGGCACUACGGUGCUGAAGCAACAAAUGCCCUGCUUCCAGGAAAAGCCUCUAAGCAUCAGGUAACAUCAAAUCGUACCCCAAACCGACACAGGUGGUCAGGUAGAGAAUACCAAGGCGCUUGAGAGAACUCGGGUGAAGGAACUAGGCAAAAUGGUGCCGUAACUUCGGGAGAAGGCACGCUGAUAUGUAGGUGAAGUCCCUCGCGGAUGGAGCUGAAAUCAGUCGAAGAUACCAGCUGGCUGCAACUGUUUAUUAAAAACACAGCACUGUGCAAACACGAAAGUGGACGUAUACGGUGUGACGCCUGCCCGGUGCCGGAAGGUUAAUUGAUGGGGUCAGCGCAAGCGAAGCUCUUGAUCGAAGCCCCGGUAAACGGCGGCCGUAACUAUAACGGUCCUAAGGUAGCGAAAUUCCUUGUCGGGUAAGUUCCGACCUGCACGAAUGGCGUAAUGAUGGCCAGGCUGUCUCCACCCGAGACUCAGUGAAAUUGAACUCGCUGUGAAGAUGCAGUGUACCCGCGGCAAGACGGAAAGACCCCGUGAACCUUUACUAUAGCUUGACACUGAACAUUGAGCCUUGAUGUGUAGGAUAGGUGGGAGGCUUUGAAGUGUGGACGCCAGUCUGCAUGGAGCCGACCUUGAAAUACCACCCUUUAAUGUUUGAUGUUCUAACGUUGACCCGUGAUCCGGGUUGCGGACAGUGUCUGGUGGGUAGUUUGACUGGGGCGGUCUCCUCCUAAAGAGUAACGGAGGAGCACGAAGGUUGGCUAAUCCUGGUCGGACAUCAGGAGGUUAGUGCAAUGGCAUAAGCCAGCUUGACUGCGAGCGUGACGGCGCGAGCAGGUGCGAAAGCAGGUCAUAGUGAUCCGGUGGUUCUGAAUGGAAGGGCCAUCGCUCAACGGAUAAAAGGUACUCCGGGGAUAACAGGCUGAUACCGCCCAAGAGUUCAUAUCGACGGCGGUGUUUGGCACCUCGAUGUCGGCUCAUCACAUCCUGGGGCUGAAGUAGGUCCCAAGGGUAUGGCUGUUCGCCAUUUAAAGUGGUACGCGAGCUGGGUUUAGAACGUCGUGAGACAGUUCGGUCCCUAUCUGCCGUGGGCGCUGGAGAACUGAGGGGGGCUGCUCCUAGUACGAGAGGACCGGAGUGGACGCAUCACUGGUGUUCGGGUUGUCAUGCCAAUGGCACUGCCCGGUAGCUAAAUGCGGAAGAGAUAAGUGCUGAAAGCAUCUAAGCACGAAACUUGCCCCGAGAUGAGUUCUCCCUGACUCCUUGAGAGUCCUGAAGGAACGUUGAAGACGACGACGUUGAUAGGCCGGGUGUGUAAGCGCAGCGAUGCGUUGAGCUAACCGGUACUAAUGAACCGUGAGGCUUAACCUUACAACGCCGAAG
This 2924-nucleotide ribosomal RNA is filed under the name Escherichia coli. RNAcentral describes it as "bacterial LSU rRNA". It matches the Rfam family "Bacterial large subunit ribosomal RNA". The record is from RNAcentral. Lineage: Bacteria; Pseudomonadati; Pseudomonadota; Gammaproteobacteria; Enterobacterales; Enterobacteriaceae.